Molecule: long non-coding RNA, 1505 nt
Filed under: Mus musculus (house mouse)
Lineage: Eukaryota; Metazoa; Chordata; Mammalia; Rodentia; Muridae
Description: long non-coding RNA chr9:50480092-50481597
Source: RNAcentral
GCGCUCCCCAGUCGCUCUGUGAAGAGGUGGGGCAGAAAUCACGGUCUGAUCAGCCCUGCACACGCUAGCUGUGCUCAGGGCCCUGGGUAUCUUCUCAGCUCCAUUCCUGCAAUGGCCCGCUGCUAUGAGGAUUCACAACUGCAAUGAAUCAAAGCAACUUAAGUACAGUUUGGCUCAAGAAGUCUUGAAAAUACUCACCUCUUUCCCCUCCUCCCACAUCUCACCAGACCUUUGAGGUCACUAGGAACUGCUGAUUUGUUUGGGUCUCUUCUUACCUGAACUAAGUCAGAAAAUCUCUGUUGUUGGGGGUGCAUAGCAUCACUACCAAUAUAUUCACUCAUAAUAAGUAAACUAUUCUCUUUCAUGUAAUUUUAUUGAUGACAAAAGUUGAUAGUAUAAUAUUGGUGUUAAUUCUAUUAGUAUGAUACUACAUUACCAGCAGAGUGUAUAUGACCUAUGUGAAUCAAUGCAUCUUCAUUGUGCCACCUAUUAUAUUCUGAAAAUAUUUCACUAAAAUGUCUAUAUAUUUGUGUGACUAUCUAGCUGUCUGUCCCUAGAGAGGGUCUUAUGUAUUCACUGUGUACAUGAGGAGGACCUAGAACUUUUGAUCCUCCUGCCUCAUCUCCCAAUUGGUGUCAGGAUUAUAGGCAUGCACUACCAUAGUCAGUGCAUGUGUUUGCUGAGGAGCAAGCCUAGGGCUCCUUAAGGAAGCACUCUACCCACUGAGCCACAUCCUCAGUCAGAGUGUUUGAUAAUUAUCCAAAAAUGUUAUGAUAUUAUUGAGCAAAGGUAGACAUAGUCUAUAUGGCAAUUGUGGUGGUUUCAGGGAGUGGCACUAUUAGAAGGUAUGACCUUGUUAGAGGAAGUGUGUCACUGUGAGCAUGGGCUUUAAGACCCUCACCCUAGCUGCCUGAAAGUCAGUCUUCUCAUAGAAGCCUUCUGAUGAAGAUGUAGAAUUCUCAGCUCUACCUGUACCAUGUCUGCCUGGUUGCUGUCAUGUUCCCGCCUUGAUGAUAAUGGACUGAACCUCUAAAUCUGUAACCCAGGCCCAACUAAAUGUUGCCUUUUUCAUGGUGUCUCUUUACAACAGUAAAACCCUAAGACAGCAAUGUUUAUAAAAAUAAUGCUUUAAGUGCAUUAAAAAUUAUAAAGAAUUGCUUUUAAAUAAAGUUAUUUUUUAAUUAUUAAAUAUUUUAUACACUGUUUAAAAAGUAUUGUUUAAGUGGUAAUCUUAAACCAGAGGACAUGCUCAGAACAUGACUUUUUCAUUUAAGUCUUUCUCAAUAUUUGAUUGAAAUAAUCCUGAAAUUAGUGUAUCAAUAACAAAUUAUAUAUAGAAACAUUGCAGCUGUUCAUGUGUCUAAAAUAGGAUCUGUUUCUUAUCAGGAAGGUAGAUGCUUUGUUUGUUCUGGUUCUCAGGAGACUUAAGCUACCACACACAGUGAUGCCAUCUGAUUGCUCCUACAUAGUACCAUAUCAGUACCAAGGGAAAACCACACUUAACC